CCCAGUUCCCCCUCUCCUCUCCCCUCGCUCCCUUUUCUCGAUCUGGACCGGCGCCCGAGCGCUGCCAUGGCUGCGUCGCCAACAUUCGCGUAGCCGCCGGCCUCCUCUCGCCUUGCCUCGAGUCCACGAGCUCCGCCCGCCUCCGAUACGUCUUCCUCGACAACGAUCCCGAGCCGGGGAGCACUGCAUCGAGCCCCACGACGCCUUUCCUCCUCCUCGGGUCGCCAGCGAACUCCGUCGAUUUCGGCCACUCUGCUGCUACUAACCUGUCGCCGGCCUUCAUGAGCCGCCCGGUGAGCUCCUGCUCCCUCCCCUCCCUUGCGUCGUCUUCAGUCGCCCGUAGCUGUAGACACCGUCGCCCCAACCGCCCGCGUCGUCCGUCCCGCUGCAUCGGCCGCACCUCGUACAGGCCCCGCGCGCGCCCAGGCGCAAGUGCUCGCCGCCCCGCACUGCGCUCCUCCUCGCCCCGCGCUGCAGUUAUUGCUGGUGUCUCUAAUGCCCCGCUCGCCGGCACGCCCGGCCGAGCCGCUGCCGCCUACCUGCACGCACGCGCGCGCGCCCCACACCCAGCCGCACAGCCCGCAUCGCCACUGCCUGCCUGCUGCUUGCUCUCUCUCGCUCGCCGACCGCUUGCUGCUACGCGCUGCUACUGCGGUGCCUCGCGCGCGAGCAGUCGCGUCCGACGCAGCUCCGGGCCUCCCGCGGUGGCCUGCUGCCGCUGCUGCCUCCGGCGGCCGCUCGCUGCCUUGCACACCCGCGCACACACCUAGCCGUGCCGGCCCUGCUUGCCGUCCCGCGCGCGCCCCUGCGCCUGCCUGAGCUGCUUCUGCUGAAGCUCUUGCCCUGCUGCUACGCUAAUACUGCUGCUGCUUACUGUACUGCUAGCUAGCUUUUCAAUUUUUACAUUGACUAACCUCCUAGACAGACCCUAAUCUGUGAUUAAACAACUGGUAAAAUGACUGAAUAAAAUAUGAGUAGGUAGUAUACUUGACAAACUCCAUUUUAUCCCAUUGGACCAAAUCCCUUCAAUGCCUAGAUUAAAUCAUAUAAAAAUCACAAAAUGCGUGUGUGUCCGUGUGUGUCCGUGUGUGUUCAGAUAACAGAAUUAACUCCUAGCUAUGUGCGUGUGUGUCCGUGUGUUGUGUGUGCCUUGUACAGCAUGGUGUGUGCGCGCCGUGCGUGUGGCCGGCUGGGCUAUGCCCAGUAAUGGCCGGCCCUUACUUAGAUUAGCACUUCUAGUAGGUCUUAAUUAGUGCUAAGUUAGUCUAGUAGUAGAUGACAUGUAGGCCCUCAUUAAAUAAAUUGGAUUUAUUUAAUUGGUUAGAUAAAUAGUCUAUGACAUGUGGGCCACACAUGCCCUUUUGACUAGUCAAAUUGACUGGGUCAAUCCGGAUUAAACUAAAUAUAAUAAAUCCAGAAAUUUCAGGAAAUACUUAAAACUGUGGAAAAUCAUAGAAAAUUAACUGUAACUCCGAUGAAAAAACUUUGUACAUGAAAGUUGCUCAGAACGACGAGACGAGUCCGAAUACGCAGCCCGUUCGUCCGCCACGCAUCCCUAGCAUAGCGAACACGUAAUUUUUCCCCUUCGAUUCAUUUGUCCGAAAACGCGAAACACCGGGGAUAUUUUCCCAGAUGUUUCCCCCUUCACCGUAUCAUCUCAUACCGCGUUAGGUCACCUCUAGCACCCCGUAUUGUCUUGUUAUGCUUUGUGAUACUUUGAUUGCUCUAUUAUUUAUUGUAUUCCCCCUCCGUUACUCUUUUUCGGUAGACCCCGAGACUGUCGGCGACCCUAGUUCGACUAUGGUGUUGGCGACCCCUCUCUCUUGCCAGAGCAACCAGGCAAGCCCCCCUUUGAUCACCAGAUAUCGCCUAUUCUUCUCUCUACUGCUUGCAUUAGAGUACCUGUCCUUGCUACUAUUGUUGUUACCUUUACCUGCAAUCCUAAUGCUUAGUAUAGGAUGCUAGUUUAUCAUUAGUGGCCCUACAUUCUUGUCCGUCUGCCAUGCUAUACUACCGGGCCGUGAUCACUCGGGAGGUGGUCAUGGGUAUAUACUUAUAUGCAUAAUAUAUGAUACUUGUGGUGACUAAAGACGGGUCGGCUCGUAGGAGUACCCGCGAGUGAUCCACGGAUUGGGUCCGAAAGGACGUUUGUCCCGACGGCCCUUUGAGUGGAUCUUUGUGGCGAAGCGACAGGGCAGGUUGAGACCACCUAGGAGAGAGGUGGGCCUGGCCCUGGUCGGCGUUCGCGGUUAUUUCAAAAUAACACGUUUAACGAGAUCUUGGUAUUUGAUCUGAGUCUGGCUACUGGCCUAUACGCACUAACCAUCUACGCGGGGACAGUUAUGGGCACUCGACGUCGUGGUAUCAGCCGAAGCCUUCGUGACGUCAGCAACUGAGCGGCGUGCGCCGGAUUGGACUGGAACGCCUGCUAGGCUAGGUCUACUUCUAGCCUCCCACGCAACAUGCAGGUGUGCUAAGGGCGAUGGGCCCAGACCCCUGGGCGCUUAGGUUUAGACCGGUGUGCUGACCUCUCUGUUGGUCUAGGUGGGGCUGCGACGUGUUGAUCUUUCGAGGCCGGGCAUGACCCAGGAAAGUGUGUCCGGCCAAAUGGGAUCGAGCGUGUUGGGUUAUGUGGUGCACCCCUGCAGGGAAGUUAAUAUAUUCGGAUAGCCGUGAUCUUCGGUAACAGGACGACUUGGAGUUGUACCUUGACCUUAUGACAACUAGAACCGGAUACUUAAUAAAACACACCCUUCCAAGUGCCAGAUACAACCGGUGAUCGCUCUGUCACAGGGCGACGAGGGGAGGAUCAUCGGUUAGGAUUAUGCUAUGCGAUGUUACAUGGUGAACUUACCAUCUACUCUCUUCUCCUGCUGCAAGACGGAGGUUACCAGAAGCGUAGUCUUCGAAAGGACUAGCUAUCCCCCUCUUAUUCCGGCAUUCUGCAGUUCAGUCCACAUAUGAUAGCCUUAUUCCCGUUGAUACCAAUGCACACAUAUGUAGUGUAGCUCCUUUCUUGCGAGUACUUUGGAUGAGUACUCACGGUUGCUUUUCUUCCCCUUUUCCCCUUCCCUAUAUCCGAUUGCUGCAACCAGACGAUGGAGUCCAGGAGCCAGACGCCACCGUCGAUGACGACUACUACUACUCGGGAGGUGCCUACUACUACGUGCAGCCGCUGACGGCGACCAGGAGUAGUUAGGAGGAUCCCAGGCAGGAGGCAUGCGCCUCUUUCGAUCUGUAUCCUUGUUUGUGCUAGCCUUCUUAAGGCAAACUUAUUUAACUUAUGUCUGUACUCAGAUAUUGUUGCUUCCGCUGACUCGUCUAUGAUCGAGCUCUUGUAUUCGAGCCCUCGAGGCCCCUGACUUGUAAUAUGAUGCUUGUAUGACUUAUUUUAUUUGUAGAGUUGUGUUGUUAUAUCUUCCCGUGAGUCCCUAAUCUUGAUCGUACACAUUUGCGUGUAUGAUUAGUGUAUGAUUGAAUCGGGGGCGUCACAGCUAGCCUAGGAGCGGCGUCAUGGAUGGUGUCUGGCGAGUGAUCCAGCCAGCAAGUGAUCCGCUCAGACUUGAAUUUCAUUUUGACUUUUCUGGAUCAUUGAACUAUGAUUUAUUUUGUUUUGCC
Molecule: long non-coding RNA, 3618 nt
Filed under: Triticum aestivum (bread wheat)
Lineage: Eukaryota; Viridiplantae; Streptophyta; Magnoliopsida; Poales; Poaceae
Description: long non-coding RNA (TAES_LNC014194)
Source: RNAcentral